CACAAAGGACAAAGAACUGGAGUGCGACGGAGAAGGUGGUGGAAGCGAGAGAGACCCGGGAGACGGCAUGCGUGUAAAGCGAUUGGUAGUGAGAGGGAAGGUGGAGGAGGACAUGCUCGCACCCGCGCUGCUGCUUCGCCUUCCCUCUCCAACCGCCUUCCGCUCAGCUCUGCUGCCUCUCUUCGCAGUUUGCCCUCUCAAUCGCCUAUUCGCUUUCUCUGUUGCUUCCCUUCACCUCUUCGAUGGGGCCUUCAGUGUCAUAGCCUUUGGAGAUAC
RNAcentral lists this small nucleolar RNA (276 nucleotides) under Leishmania donovani. Its description in RNAcentral is "H/ACA box snoRNA LD29Cs1H2". Lineage: Eukaryota; Euglenozoa; Kinetoplastea; Trypanosomatida; Trypanosomatidae. The record is from RNAcentral.